GAUGAACGCUGGCGGCGUGCCUAAUACAUGCAAGUCGAGCGAACAGACGAGGAGCUUGCUCCUUCGACGUUAGCGGCGGACGGGUGAGUAACACGUAGGUAACCUACCUAUAAGACUGGGAUAACUUCGGGAAACCGGAGCUAAUACCGGAUAAUAUUUCGAACCGCAUGGUUCGAUAGUGAAAGAUGGCUUUGCUAUCACUUAUAGAUGGACCUGCGCCGUAUUAGCUAGUUGGUAAGGUAACGGCUUACCAAGGCAACGAUACGUAGCCGACCUGAGAGGGUGAUCGGCCACACUGGAACUGAGACACGGUCCAGACUCCUACGGGAGGCAGCAGUAGGGAAUCUUCCGCAAUGGGCGAAAGCCUGAUGGAGCAACGCCGCGUGAGUGAUGAAGGUCUUCGGAUCGUAAAACUCUGUUAUUAGGGAAGAACAAACGUGUAAGUAACUGUGCACGUCUUGACGGUACCUAAUCAGAAAGCCACGGCUAACUACGUG
RNAcentral lists this ribosomal RNA (497 nucleotides) under uncultured bacterium. RNAcentral describes it as "partial 16S ribosomal RNA". It matches the Rfam family "Bacterial small subunit ribosomal RNA", at positions 28 to 507 of the family's 1533-position model. The record is from RNAcentral.